GGCUUAUUGAGUGAUAAUUUUAAGUCAAUUCUGCCCAAUGAUUAAAAAAAUUUAAUGGCUGCAGUAUAAUUGACUGUACAAAGGUAGCAUAAUCAAUUGUUUUUUAAUUAAGAACUGGAAUGAAAGAGUUAAUGAGAUAUAUUCUGUCUCAUAUAUAUUUAAUUAAUUUAAAUUUUUAGUUAAAAUGCUAAAAUUGAUUUAUGGGACGAUAAGACCCUAUAGAAUUUAAUAUUAAUAUAUUGAUUAUAAUUUAAUUAUUAAAUAUUAAUAUUUUGUUGGGAGGAUAGAUAAAUUUAUAAAACUUUAUUUUAAAUAUUAACUUUAAUUAAAGAAUAAAUAUUUUUGAUCUUAUAAUAAAAAUUAAAAGAAUAAAUUACCUUAGGGAUAACAGCGUAAUAUCUUUUUAAAGAUCAUAUUGAGAAAGAUGAUUGCGACCUCGAUGUUGAAUUAAGAUAAAUUUUAAAUGAAGAAAUUUAAUAAUUAAGUCUGUUCGACUUUUAAAAUCUUACAUGAUUUGAGUUCAAAUCGACGUAAGU
This 536-nucleotide ribosomal RNA is filed under the name Bombus patagiatus. RNAcentral describes it as "partial 16S ribosomal RNA". The stretch from base 384 to 536 matches the Rfam family "Bacterial large subunit ribosomal RNA", at positions 2473 to 2626 of the family's 2925-position model. Lineage: Eukaryota; Metazoa; Arthropoda; Insecta; Hymenoptera; Apidae. The record is from RNAcentral.